This 77-nucleotide transfer RNA is filed under the name TM7 phylum sp. oral taxon 346. Its description in RNAcentral is "tRNA-Val". It matches the Rfam family "tRNA". Rfam says of the family: Transfer RNA (tRNA) molecules are approximately 80 nucleotides in length. Their secondary structure includes four short double-helical elements and three loops (D, anti-codon, and T loops). Further hydrogen bonds mediate the characteristic L-shaped molecular structure. tRNAs have two regions of fundamental functional importance: the anti-codon, which is responsible for specific mRNA codon recognition, and the 3' end, to which the tRNAs corresponding amino acid is attached (by aminoacyl-tRNA synthetases). tRNAs cope with the degeneracy of the genetic code in two manners: having more than one tRNA (with a specific anti-codon) for a particular amino acid; and 'wobble' base-pairing, i.e. permitting non-standard base-pairing at the 3rd anti-codon position. Lineage: Bacteria; Candidatus Saccharimonadota. RNAcentral also lists the same sequence under 9 other names. The record is from RNAcentral.
GGACCUUUAGCUCAGUUGGCUAGAGCGCACGAUUCACAUUCGUGAGGUCGCAGGUUCAAGCCCUGCAAGGUCCACCA